GAUUCCUGACGAGAUUACCCGUCUUCUUGAGCAUAAAAAGAAGAUCAGUCAGCUGCAUCUUGAGAACCCGUAAGAAGCCAAACUGGGGUUUUACAAAUGUAAAAGAGGGGUGAAAAAUAAAAAAAAAAUCAAAAUAAAAAAAAAAGAAAUGUAGAGAAAAAUAAAGAAAAAAUGGCGCCCUCAGACCCCAAGUUGACUGAUGCUG
RNAcentral lists this long non-coding RNA (205 nucleotides) under Lathyrus oleraceus (garden pea). Its description in RNAcentral is "Pisum sativum (pea) long non-coding RNA (PSAT_LNC005431)". Lineage: Eukaryota; Viridiplantae; Streptophyta; Magnoliopsida; Fabales; Fabaceae. The record is from RNAcentral.